AAAAAAAAAAAAAAAAUGCAGUUGCUAAAAGACAAAAAACUCAAUGGAAAGGUUAAAGGUUAAAUAAUAGACUAGACAUAAUUGGAGAAGUAAAUGUAUGACAGAUCCAAGGAAAUCACCAAUGAGAUUUAAAAAAUAAAAAAAUAUGAAAAAAUUGGUUAAGAAACAUAGAGAUAUAAGGAAGAUCCAACCCACAUCUAAUAGAAUCUCCAAGGGAAUGGAAAAUGAGAGGGAGACAAUAUUUAAAGAGAUAACAGCUGGUAAUUUUCUAGAGUUGAAGAGAGAUAUAAAUCCUCUAAUGAACAACAACAGAGCUAUAUCCAGUCUUCUCAUGACAAAACUGAAGAACAUUAAAGACAGAGAAAAUCUUUAGAACUCAUCAUGGUUAUCUGGCUUGUGGACCGUUAAACCUGGUGUUUUCCCUGUCUCCUGCACGGUACGGUACACACCAAAGAAGAAAAUCACGUUAUUUAAACAUGAUGAAGUUUUGCCUUUUGUUUUGUACUCUUCUACCCAAGGGAACUUACAAAUCAAUAAACCUUAAAGGGACAGAAUAAUGGCUGUAUGUUACCUAACACGCAAUAAUUAGUAAUAACUAUAUUAUCCUUCAAAUGAAUAAGACGUGGGUGAUCAAUAUGGCUUACAUUAUUUUCCUAACAGUGGUACCAGAUUUGGACUAAGUUAUGGAGAUACCCAGACAUUGUUAUCAAAUCCUCUUAACACUGAACACAUUUUCAGGAUGACAGUCAAAGAGGAAGAGGAUAGCAUGUGGCAAGGAAGAGCUACCUGCCUAGGCAAAAAUAAACUUAGCACCACAGCUUCAUCAUGGAAUUAGCCUGCUAUAGAAGAAGGACUUGAUUUAACUCACACAGAAUCUGAAAGAACUCCCUUAACUGGAUUUUCACCUAUCUUUUAUGUUUGUCAUUAAUUGAAGCAAAUUAUAGGAUAGCUAAGGUUAUGAAUUAACGGUUUUAGGGAAGAAAUAGAAGGGAAGGCAUAUGGCCUUUGAAUCCUGAGAAAUCUAUAUCACCCCUUAUUAUUUUUUUAUUGCUUCUUAACUAACAGUUACAAUUACCACCAUGUGUAAAAUAAGAUCAGUUUCAGGAUGACUUCAAGGCCCAAGUUUAUAACAUUGGCAGGCUACAGGAGGUGGGAUGAGUCCUGCCAAAGCUAACAGCUAAUUUGGGGAAGUCUACUCGGACAACUUUGGUAAAAUCAGCUAAACUCUCCUUAGUCUUUGUUUGCAGAAGUAGCAGCAGCUAGCUAACACCUUCUGAUUGCUCACCAUGUGCCCUUGACUGAGUUAAAUGUGUUAUAUGCAGACAACUGCGGUUGAAACAAGCUGCUACUCAUUAGCAGGAUGACUUAACCAUAAAAAUCUUCAAUUUUCUCUGGAAAAUGGGGAUAAUAAGCUCAUAUAAUCUCCUAGGGUUGCUGGGAGAAUUAAAUCAGAAGCUAUGAUAAUAAGGCAAACAGAUGCUUCUGGAGUGUAGCAGAUUGUAUUUCUGAAAAUGGCCACAAGAAUGUGCUCUCCUAGAACCUUGCCCAUGCCCCCAUCAAGAGGUGGAUGGUUCUUUGUGACAGCCACACUGAAUAGGAUGUGGUGGAGGUGGUACUGUGUGACUGGCUAAUAAAAGGUAAUAUGGCCUCUGUCUCUCUCUCGUUCUGUACUAUAAGAGUUCUGAACCAUCCUGUGACAAGUCUAGUUACCCUAAAGCUGUCAUGCAGGAGAGACCAUGUGGAGAGAAGGAGAGUUAGAGAGAGGAGGAGCCCCUGCUGUUUGAGUAUUCUCAGCCCAGACACCAGACAUGAGUGAGGAAGCAUUCAGACCCCAACUCCAGUUUAAAAACGCCACCACUCAACAGCCUGUUUUCUGAGCCUAUGACCACAUAUAUGCUGCAGAACCCUUUCAGGGUGUAUCUGAAACUACUUCUCUUAAAGGCAAGCUGUAACUGGUGCCAGAAAAGACAGAAGCUGAUUGAGGUCCCAGCUUGGUAACAGUUUGAAGAGUUGCAGGACUGGCUGGAUGAGUACUGGCUGCAGCAAAUCAGGCUGCCAGGAUUCUUUAUGGCUGUUUCUGCUUCCACUACAGCUGAGUCAGAAAGGUCGCUGCCCCGUGGUGGCACUAGACGCAGUGGACCUGGCAAGCAAAUGUUUCCGCUAUUAGCUCUCAGCAACAGAGACUCAUUUAUGGUCACCUUGGAAAUCUGGGCUUAUCGAUCUACAGCCCAAGUCUGCUGAGAAGCUGGAGCUUACUAAAGGGGAAACCUGAGAGCUGUUCAAGCCCCAAAUAUUUUCCACUUCUGCGUCACCUCUGCUGUCUGUUAGCAGAGUGGAGGAGAAAAUACACAGCACAAACAACGUGAAAAAAUAGUUACUCUAUUCAUUAAAAGCUGUAACUUCCAGAUUGGACUUGAGAAGCAAUUAAGCAACAGAGGAACCUCAUCUACUAUCUGUAUUCAGGGUAUGAUUUACAUACCGUAACAUUCACCCAUUUUAUGUUUAGAGUUUGAUGAGUUUUAGUAAUUUACACAGUUGUGCACCAUCAGCACACUCUCACCCACGACUUCUGAUCUCUGUAGAAUGAAGUGGAGGGCAGGCCAUCUGUUGUGUUUGCACAUAGAGAUGAAUAAUGAGCAGCAGUACUGUUUUGUCUGUAGCCUUGUCCUACUGAUAUUGGGACUUCAUCCUUCCACAUAUGUAGCACAGUGCCUGGCACAAAGUAGGAGCUCAAUAACUGCUGAAUGAAUGGAUGAACUGACGUCUAUAGUUGGUUCAAGGUGCAGCAGUUUGAGCAUGUUUGCUUUUUUUUUUGUUCUCACAUAAUUUUAUUGAGAUUUACAACUUCUUUUUUUGCCAUUAAAAUUUUAUUUUAUUAUUUAUUUAUUUAUUUAUUUUUUGGGAGGAAGCAGACGGCAAAAGUGGUAAAUGAUGAUAAGGAUGGCCUAAGAGAUUAAGCCCUCAGGGAAGGAGGGAGAGGUAAUAGGGAGAAAUGUGAAAGGGAGGAAAUUAAGCAAUCUUUGCAGGCUCUCCACUCAAAGUUUGGUCCAGUGUAGCAGCAGCAGCAUCACCUGGGGGCCUGUUAGAAAUGCAGUGCUUCAGGACCAACCCCAGACCUACUGAAUCAGA
RNAcentral lists this long non-coding RNA (3129 nucleotides) under Homo sapiens (human). Its description in RNAcentral is "HSALNT0350816". Lineage: Eukaryota; Metazoa; Chordata; Mammalia; Primates; Hominidae. The record is from RNAcentral.